Molecule: small nuclear RNA, 346 nt
Filed under: Mus caroli (Ryukyu mouse)
Lineage: Eukaryota; Metazoa; Chordata; Mammalia; Rodentia; Muridae
Description: sRNA (MGP_CAROLIEiJ_G0008873.1)
Rfam family: 7SK RNA
About the family: 7SK was discovered as an abundant small nuclear RNA in the mid-70s but a possible function has only recently been suggested. Two independent studies have found that 7SK RNA binds the CDK9/cyclin T complex (known as elongation factor P-TEFb). P-TEFb activates transcription by phosphorylating the C-terminal domain of RNA polymerase II.
Source: RNAcentral
GCAUGUAAGGGGGAACUGUUUGUCAUCGCUCACUCUUGGUCACCACAACAUUCAGCUUACCUAUCUGGGUAGGCUUCCCUUUCUUCAUUGCUGCAUAUGCAACUCCUCCAAACGGGAAGAGAAUGGCCUUCCCCAAUAGAGGAGAGUCUUUUCCAGGGUGUAAGUGUGUGUGUGUGUGUGUGUGUGUGUGUGUGUGUGUGUGUGUGUGUGUAUGAGCAGCUACAUUCUGCUGCUGGAAAGUCUUGUCAGUCUUUCAGGAGGGGAGACCGUAGGGUAGUCAAGCUUCUAAAACUGUGGGCCCAUCCAAAUAAGAUGCUUCAUGUGUGGUGGUGGUCAGCCUUUGUUU